RNAcentral lists this ribosomal RNA (324 nucleotides) under uncultured Russula. RNAcentral's name for it is "eukaryotic LSU rRNA". The record is from RNAcentral. Lineage: Eukaryota; Fungi; Basidiomycota; Agaricomycetes; Russulales; Russulaceae.
CGCACCUUGCGCCCUUUGGCAUUCCGAAGGGCACACCCGUUUGAGUGUCGUGACAUUCUACAAAACCUUCUUGGUUUCUUGACCGGGAAGGCUUUGGACUUUGGAGGCUUUUGCUGGCAUUCCCUUGUUGAAGCCAGCUCCUCUGAAACGAAUUAGGUGGGGUCUGCUUUGCCAAUCCCUGACGUGAUAAGAUAUUUCUACGUCUUGGGUUUCGCAUCCGCACUCCCGCUUCUAACCGUCUCAUUAGAAGACAAUGGCCGAGUGAUUGCCACUCGACCCACGAACCUUGACCUCAAAUCGGGUGAGACUACCCGCUGAACUUAA